RNAcentral lists this ribosomal RNA (468 nucleotides) under uncultured bacterium. Its description in RNAcentral is "partial 16S ribosomal RNA". It matches the Rfam family "Bacterial small subunit ribosomal RNA", at positions 28 to 507 of the family's 1533-position model. The record is from RNAcentral.
GACGAACGCUGGCGGCGUGCUUAACACAUGCAAGUCGAACGGAAAGGCCCUGCUUUUGUGGGGUGCUCGAGUGGCGAACGGGUGAGUAACACGUGAGUAACCUGUCCCUGACUUUGGGAUAACUUCAGGAAACAGGGGCUAUUACCGGAUAGGAGCUCCUGCUGCAUGGUGGGGGUUGGUGAGUUUCGGCGGUUGGGGGUGGACUCGCGGCAUCUCGGCUUGUUGGUGGGGUUGGGGCUUACCAAGGCUUUGACGCGUAGCCGGCCUGAGAGGGUGACCGGCCACAUUGCGACUGAGAUACGGCCCAGACUCCAACGGGAGGCAACGGUGGAGAGUAGUGCACAAUGGGCUGAGGCAUGAUGCAGCGCCGCCGCGUGCGGGAUAGGAGCCUUCGGGUUGGAAUCCAAUAUCGUUUGUGACGGGGCGUGAGUGACGGUAACGGGUAAAGAAGCACCGGCUAACUACGUG